Molecule: ribosomal RNA, 2931 nt
Filed under: Escherichia coli
Lineage: Bacteria; Pseudomonadati; Pseudomonadota; Gammaproteobacteria; Enterobacterales; Enterobacteriaceae
Description: 23S ribosomal RNA
Rfam family: Bacterial large subunit ribosomal RNA
Source: RNAcentral
GGGUUGUGAGGUUAAGCGACUAAGCGUACACGGUGGAUGCCCUGGCAGUCAGAGGCGAUGAAGGACGUGCUAAUCUGCGAUAAGCGUCGGUAAGGUGAUAUGAACCGUUAUAACCGGCGAUUUCCGAAUGGGGAAACCCAGUGUGUUUCGACACACUAUCAUUAACUGAAUCCAUAGGUUAAUGAGGCGAACCGGGGGAACUGAAACAUCUAAGUACCCCGAGGAAAAGAAAUCAACCGAGAUUCCCCCAGUAGCGGCGAGCGAACGGGGAGCAGCCCAGAGCCUGAAUCAGUGUGUGUGUUAGUGGAAGCGUCUGGAAAGGCGCGCGAUACAGGGUGACAGCCCCGUACACAAAAAUGCACAUGCUGUGAGCUCGAUGAGUAGGGCGGGACACGUGGUAUCCUGUCUGAAUAUGGGGGGACCAUCCUCCAAGGCUAAAUACUCCUGACUGACCGAUAGUGAACCAGUACCGUGAGGGAAAGGCGAAAAGAACCCCGGCGAGGGGAGUGAAAAAGAACCUGAAACCGUGUACGUACAAGCAGUGGGAGCACGCUUAGGCGUGUGACUGCGUACCUUUUGUAUAAUGGGUCAGCGACUUAUAUUCUGUAGCAAGGUUAACCGAAUAGGGGAGCCGAAGGGAAACCGAGUCUUAACUGGGCGUUAAGUUGCAGGGUAUAGACCCGAAACCCGGUGAUCUAGCCAUGGGCAGGUUGAAGGUUGGGUAACACUAACUGGAGGACCGAACCGACUAAUGUUGAAAAAUUAGCGGAUGACUUGUGGCUGGGGGUGAAAGGCCAAUCAAACCGGGAGAUAGCUGGUUCUCCCCGAAAGCUAUUUAGGUAGCGCCUCGUGAAUUCAUCUCCGGGGGUAGAGCACUGUUUCGGCAAGGGGGUCAUCCCGACUUACCAACCCGAUGCAAACUGCGAAUACCGGAGAAUGUUAUCACGGGAGACACACGGCGGGUGCUAACGUCCGUCGUGAAGAGGGAAACAACCCAGACCGCCAGCUAAGGUCCCAAAGUCAUGGUUAAGUGGGAAACGAUGUGGGAAGGCCCAGACAGCCAGGAUGUUGGCUUAGAAGCAGCCAUCAUUUAAAGAAAGCGUAAUAGCUCACUGGUCGAGUCGGCCUGCGCGGAAGAUGUAACGGGGCUAAACCAUGCACCGAAGCUGCGGCAGCGACGCUGAUGCGUUGUUGGGUAGGGGAGCGUUCUGUAAGCCUGCGAAGGUGUGCUGUGAGGCAUGCUGGAGGUAUCAGAAGUGCGAAUGCUGACAUAAGUAACGAUAAAGCGGGUGAAAAGCCCGCUCGCCGGAAGACCAAGGGUUCCUGUCCAACGUUAAUCGGGGCAGGGUGAGUCGACCCCUAAGGCGAGGCCGAAAGGCGUAGUCGAUGGGAAACAGGUUAAUAUUCCUGUACUUGGUGUUACUGCGAAGGGGGGACGGAGAAGGCUAUGUUGGCCGGGCGACGGUUGUCCCGGUUUAAGCGUGUAGGCUGGUUUUCCAGGCAAAUCCGGAAAAUCAAGGCUGAGGCGUGAUGACGAGGCACUACGGUGCUGAAGCAACAAAUGCCCUGCUUCCAGGAAAAGCCUCUAAGCAUCAGGUAACAUCAAAUCGUACCCCAAACCGACACAGGUGGUCAGGUAGAGAAUACCAAGGCGCUUGAGAGAACUCGGGUGAAGGAACUAGGCAAAAUGGUGCCGUAACUUCGGGAGAAGGCACGCUGAUAUGUAGGUGAAGCGACUUGCUCGUGGAGCUGAAAUCAGUCGAAGAUACCAGCUGGCUGCAACUGUUUAUUAAAAACACAGCACUGUGCAAACACGAAAGUGGACGUAUACGGUGUGACGCCUGCCCGGUGCCGGAAGGUUAAUUGAUGGGGUUAGCCGCAAGGCGAAGCUCUUGAUCGAAGCCCCGGUAAACGGCGGCCGUAACUAUAACGGUCCUAAGGUAGCGAAAUUCCUUGUCGGGUAAGUUCCGACCUGCACGAAUGGCGUAAUGAUGGCCAGGCUGUCUCCACCCGAGACUCAGUGAAAUUGAACUCGCUGUGAAGAUGCAGUGUACCCGCGGCAAGACGGAAAGACCCCGUGAACCUUUACUAUAGCUUGACACUGAACAUUGAGCCUUGAUGUGUAGGAUAGGUGGGAGGCUUUGAAGUGUGGACGCCAGUCUGCAUGGAGCCGACCUUGAAAUACCACCCUUUAAUGUUUGAUGUUCUAACGUUGACCCGUGAUCGGGUUGCGGACAGUGUCUGGUGGGUAGUUUGACUGGGGCGGUCUCCUCCUAAAGAGUAACGGAGGAGCACGAAGGUUGGCUAAUCCUGGUCGGACAUCAGGAGGUUAGUGCAAUGGCAUAAGCCAGCUUGACUGCGAGCGUGACGGCGCGAGCAGGUGCGAAAGCAGGUCAUAGUGAUCCGGUGGUUCUGAAUGGAAGGGCCAUCGCUCAACGGAUAAAAGGUACUCCGGGGAUAACAGGCUGAUACCGCCCAAGAGUUCAUAUCGACGGCGGUGUUUGGCACCUCGAUGUCGGCUCAUCACAUCCUGGGGCUGAAGUAGGUCCCAAGGGUAUGGCUGUUCGCCAUUUAAAGUGGUACGCGAGCUGGGUUUAGAACGUCGUGAGACAGUUCGGUCCCUAUCUGCCGUGGGCGCUGGAGAACUGAGGGGGGCUGCUCCUAGUACGAGAGGACCGGAGUGGACGCAUCACUGGUGUUCGGGUUGUCAUGCCAAUGGCACUGCCCGGUAGCUAAAUGCGGAAGAGAUAAGUGCUGAAAGCAUCUAAGCACGAAACUUGCCCCGAGAUGAGUUCUCCCUGACUCCUUGAGAGUCCUGAAGGAACGUUGAAGACGACGACGUUGAUAGGCCGGGUGUGUAAGCGCAGCGAUGCGUUGAGCUAACCGGUACUAAUGAACCGUGAGGCUUAACCUUACAACGCCGAAGCUGUU